UACUGACCUUUCCUCCUCGCUGAAAGUGCUUUACAACCCGAAGGCCUUCUUCACACACGCGGCAUGGCUGCAUCAGGGUUUCCCCCAUUGUGCAAUAUUCCCCACUGCUGCCUCCCGUAGGAGUCUGGACCGUGUCUCAGUUCCAGUGUGGCUGAUCAUCCUCUCAGACNNGCUAGGGAUCGUCGCCUYGGUGAGCCAUUACCUCMCCAACUAGCUAAUCCCACCUGGGCAUAUCCAAUCGCGCAAGGCCCGAAGGUCCCCUGCUUUCCCCCGUAGGGCGUAUGCGGUAUUAGCAGUCGUUUCCAACUGUUAUCCCCCUCGACUGGGCAAUUUCCCAGGCAUUACUCACCCGUCCGCCGCUCGCCGGCAAAAGUAGCAAGCUACUUUCCCGCUGCCGCUCGACUUGCAUGUGUUAGGCCUGCCGCCAGCGUUCAAUCU
RNAcentral lists this ribosomal RNA (438 nucleotides) under Aeromonas caviae. RNAcentral describes it as "partial 16S ribosomal RNA". Lineage: Bacteria; Pseudomonadati; Pseudomonadota; Gammaproteobacteria; Aeromonadales; Aeromonadaceae. The record is from RNAcentral.